UGAUUAAAUCUUCUAAAUUAUUAGGUCUCUAAAAUGAACUAGUUAUGAUGAUAUCUAGAUCAUAGCUUCUCAUUAAGGUGAAUGGUAAUAGGUCCAUUAUUUAUGAUUGACAUUGCAGGCGCUAUCCGUUUGGUGUUCAUUCUGAAUGAUGGAAUUAUCAUUCAUCAUAUGAUGACUCUAUUGAACUAUCUGAUGAUGGUUGGG
This 204-nucleotide long non-coding RNA is filed under the name Elaeis guineensis (African oil palm). RNAcentral's name for it is "long non-coding RNA (EGUI_LNC008141)". Lineage: Eukaryota; Viridiplantae; Streptophyta; Magnoliopsida; Arecales; Arecaceae. The record is from RNAcentral.